Chinchilla lanigera (long-tailed chinchilla) is the source of this 1157-nucleotide long non-coding RNA. RefSeq lists it as uncharacterized. NCBI's taxonomy places the organism in Eukaryota, Metazoa, Chordata, Mammalia, Rodentia, Chinchillidae. The transcript is spliced from 2 exons. The record is from RefSeq and is a predicted model, not a curated record.
GAGAAAAUUUAAAAAUAGAAAGAAAGGAUCCAAACAUGACCCCUAAACCAUAAAAUGAAGUAUUGUUAGCACUCCCAAAGACACCAUAAAAAGCUUAAUUUUAUAUGAAUGUGAUCUUUAGGGACCCUGGAGUGGGAUGUACAAACCACGUCUAAACAGAGAAAGGGGGCUGGGGGAGAGGGAAGAAAGAGAGGAAGAGAAGAAGGAAGGAGGGAAGGAAGGAAGAAAGGGAGAAAAACAAAAAUCACCAAACAUCCCCAUUCCAUCUGCGGGCUGCCCCGCUCAAUGAUGGCCCCACCUUGUCCCCACAGUCAAAUUCCAGUGUCAUCAUGGCCCUCUCAGUCCGCCCCACACCCAGUGCCCCAGCCAGUGUCCACACGGUGUCCAGUAUCUGUGCACCCACAACGACCCGCUGCACCAGGAGGAAAACACAGCCCUCACCUUGGUUCCCACCUCCCGGCUCCCGUCCUUCCCUCCUCAACAAACUCUGAAUUUCCUGCCUUAAAGCCUUGAAGGGGGACAGUCCCACAGCUCUGAACAUUCUUUGCUCUCAACAUUCCCCAGUGACUGCUCCUCUGGUAAUGCUAAGCUCAAACAUCAGAAGUUCAGGAAGAACUGAUCUAGUGGACAUGGUUCACAGCACACAAAUGUACCCAGAAACUUCAACUCAAAAUAUUGUCCUUCACUCUCAGUCCAAGCUGGCGCCUCUGCUUCCCAGAAGACACUGGUGCUGGGGGGCGGGGUGACUCCAUAGUGCAUCCUCUUUGUCUUUUCCUUUUAGGUGAACAUCCAAUCAAGAUGAACAUGACCAUCAUAACGUGUCCCAAACAACAAAGAUUGUGACCUGGCAGCACAGGUCUGCCUGCUCCAGGCUGAGGUGCCUCCCCACCUGCCCUUGGAGUUGAACCAUCUGCUGUAGGCCGAUGCAAGACAGGCUAGGCAAGGAGCCUUCCCUCUGGGUCACCCAUCCCGGCUAAGACCACACAGCAUGCAAUAGAAGAGGAGACAGUGAUGCCAUGUGGACCUCCCCGUCACUCAGGAUUCAUAUCCUGGUCGUGCAGAAUAAUCAUAUCUCAGACAGGGGAGCAUCUCCCCAGUGACAGACCCUCACUGCUCAGCAACAAAAUCCAACUGGUUUAUUAGAAUGCAACACUCUG